CCUACGGGAGGCAGCAGUGGGGAAUAUUGGGCAAUGGGCGCAAGCCUGACCCAGCAACGCCGCGUGAAGGAAGAAGGCUUUCGGGUUGUAAACUUCGUUUAAGAGGGAAGAGCAGAAGAGGGUACAUAGAGAAUAAGCCAGGGCUAACGACGUGACAGCAGCCGCGGAAAUACGGAGGUGGCAAGCGUUGUCCGGAUUUACUGGGGGUAAAGGGCGGGUAGCCGGGCUGACAAGUCAGAUGUGAAAUCCCGUGGCUCAACCCCUGAACUGCAUUUGAAACUGUCGGUCUUGAGUAUCGGAGCGGCAGGCGGAAUUCCUUGUGUAGCGGUGAAAUGCGUAGAUAUUAGGAGGAACACCAGUGGCGAAGGCGGCCUGCUGGACGCCAACUGACGCUGAGGCGCGAAAGCGUGGGUAGCAAACAGGAUUAGAUACCCCUGUAGUC
RNAcentral lists this ribosomal RNA (442 nucleotides) under uncultured bacterium. Its description in RNAcentral is "partial 16S ribosomal RNA". It matches the Rfam family "Bacterial small subunit ribosomal RNA", at positions 338 to 795 of the family's 1533-position model. The record is from RNAcentral.